This 496-nucleotide ribosomal RNA is filed under the name uncultured bacterium. Its description in RNAcentral is "bacterial LSU rRNA". It matches the Rfam family "Bacterial large subunit ribosomal RNA", at positions 941 to 1440 of the family's 2925-position model. The record is from RNAcentral.
AACCCGUGGCAAACUCCGAAUACCGGGAAGUGCAAUGACGGGGAGACACACGGUGGGUGCGAACAUCCAUCGUGAAGAGGGAAACAACCCAGACCGCCAGCUAAGGUCCCCAAAUUGCGGCUCAGUGGGAAACGAAGUGGGAAGGCCCAGACAGCCAGGAGGUUGGCUUAGAAGCAGCCAUCCUUUAAAGAAAGCGUAAUAGCUCACUGGUCGAGUCGGCCCGCGCGGAAGAUUUACCGGGGCUUAAGCCGCAUACCGAAGCUGCGGAUGCCGUAAGGCAUGGUAGGGGAGCGUUCCGUAGGCCUGUGAAGGGCUGCUGUAAAGCAGUCUGGAGGUAUCGGAAGCGCGAAUGCUGACAUGAGUAACGAUCAUGCGGGUGAAAACCCCGCACGCCGCAAGCCCCAGGGUUCCUGCGCAACGGCAAUCGACGCAGGGUGAGUCGGCCCCUAAGGCGAGGCCGAAAGGCGUAGUCGAUGGGAAACCGGUCAACAAUCCG